GAUGAACGCUGACAGAAUGCUUAACACAUGCCAGUCAACUUGAAUUUGGGUUUUUAACUUAGGUUUGGGUGGCGGACGGGUGAGUAACGCGUAAAGAACUUGCCUCACAGCUAGGGACAACAUUUGGAAACGAAUGCUAAUACCUAAUAUUAUGAUAAUAGGGCAUCCUAUAAUUAUGAAAGCUAUAAGCGCUGUGAGAGAGCUUUGCGUCCCAUUAGCUAGUUGGAGAGGUAACGGCUCACCAAGGCGAUGAUGGGUAGCCGGCCUGAGAGGGUGAUCGGCCACUAGGGAACUGGGACACGGCCCUUACUCCUACGGGAGGCAGCAGUGGGGAAUAUGGGACAAGGGACCAAGCGUCUGAUCCAGCAAUUCUGUGUGCACGAUGAAGUUUUUCGGAAUGUAAAGUGCUUUCAGUUGGGAAGAAAGAAAUGACGGUACCAACAGAAGAAGUGACGGCUAAAUACGUG
RNAcentral lists this ribosomal RNA (467 nucleotides) under uncultured bacterium. Its description in RNAcentral is "partial 16S ribosomal RNA". It matches the Rfam family "Bacterial small subunit ribosomal RNA", at positions 28 to 507 of the family's 1533-position model. The record is from RNAcentral.